Molecule: non-coding RNA, 18284 nt
Organism: Callithrix jacchus (white-tufted-ear marmoset)
Lineage: Eukaryota; Metazoa; Chordata; Mammalia; Primates; Cebidae
Source: RefSeq, a predicted model, not a curated record
UAUCCGGGGCAUGCUGGGAAGGCUCCCAGAACUGCUUAUCCGGCUUCUGAGGGUGGGGAAGGUACCCCCAGGCGCAGGCACACAGUACAGUGGGGUCAAGCAUCUAGCUGACCUAAUUAAAAGCUCAUUACAGCAGCCCAUCCCCAUUAACAGGCUGACCCACGUGCAAAUCCAUUAACACAGGAGUCUUCUCUGCUUCCCAAACCGGGAAUCCCAGCCGCAGCCCCGGGGCCUGGAAACUCCGGCCAGUUUAUUGAAGUGCCUUCCCCGCCUGUGACCAUCAGGCAAAGGGAGAAUCUUACCGGGAAUCUCACUUCUAGCCAAUGAGGAAUUUACAGAAAAGCGAAAUGGAAGGAAUCAUUUUGUCAUCUGUGCAAAUCUGUAUUCUGAAAGGUACUCAGAUAUCCACGAAGUCCUCCUCAUCUCGCACUAUUAUUUCUCUCACUGGGCACAAUCCAGCUUUAAAGAAUUCAACACUUACUGGUCUUCAGAGGACUGUCAGCAAUGACAGCAACCAGGGAUGCUGACAUGUCUUGUUGUUUACAAAGGAUGAGCACAAGGCCUUUUGGAUGACUUGAUAAGCCCUGCAACUCCUCUCUCACUGUUUCUCACCUCUCUGGACCAGCUGGCUUUGUGUGGUGGUGAAACUGCGAUUUUCGGAUCCAUGCAGCUUUAUGGAAUAUAGUAUGGGUGAAUUAUGAACCCAGGUCUGUAUGCUUCCAGGUAAGUUUUCCAUUUUGCCAUACUCUCCUGUGAACCUAGUCUGAAGGUGGAGUUCUAACUGGGACACUGAGGACAGAAGGGCCCAUUAAUUGAGACUUUGAACAUGAGAAAAAGUGGAAUGCAAAAUAGCAUGCUCACAGCUGUUUUCAAGCAAUAGCACUGUCUAAAACCGCUAGGAAUGAAUAGACCUAUGUGGCUAGAAAUUGAUGCAAAGGAAGAAUAUUCACUCUGGGUCAGUUUUUGAGCCUAUAGAAUUAGCUAAUAUUGUUGAUUUUGCUCAUGGCUGCCUCUCUGAUAUGUUGGAGGCAAUUUCCAUCUUCCUAACAAGUUAAAUGCAUGUUGUGAUUUUAGCAGGCUAAAGUGUUAACUCUUGUUUAAAUAUCUAUAUUUAGCAUUAUUCAUAGAAGUAACACAAUUACCUUCUUUUCCAUACAGAGAGCAUGACUUUUUCAGAAAAGUAUUCAAAGAAUUCAUUGGACCAUUAUGUUAGGGACACUUAUUCAUCAAUACCGGAUACAGAUUUGAUAAAGAUUUGUGCUCUUAUGGGAUGCACUAUUCAUAUACUAUUAUUAUUAUUAUGGCCUUGAAUAUUUAAUCUGUUUCUCACAUUAGCAUCCCUAUCCACAUAUAGAUUGGACUUACUAGUGCAAUUUCUAGCAAAAUGAGAAUGUUACCAGUAAUCAUCACACAAAGGAUGUCAUGGUAAAUCAAGGCUCAGAAAAUGAUAUGCUACCCAAGGGAUGUAGCAUUGUGCUUCUACCCUGUUUCUUUUCAAGCCCAGUUACACCAGUUUCUUAUUUAGUCUGGCUGUGGCAUUCAGAUAUUUGUUCAGCUCCAGGUUUUGUUAUUUCUGUUUUUUGUUUGAUUCUGGCUUGAGCUUGUAGGGAGUUAAUUGUGUAGUUUAAGGUCCUUCUGCUUCUAGCUCAUCUUGAAUCCAUGUGUCAUUUUCGUGACUGGGUUUUAAAAUUUCUCAAAUAAAUGCAUUGGUCUGCCUGCCUAGUGUUUGCAUAUUUUAGGCUUCUAUCUGCGAAGAGAAGAGGCCAUGAGAUCUGCUAACACGCAAAAAAGAAGAUAAAAGCAUUUUAAAAAAUGCCUUCUUGCACACAGGCCUGCUUUAUAAUAAACCAGAGCAGUGCAGGAAUUAAGAUGUUGUUGAAAUGCCAAAGUGUUUCUGCCCUUUUAUUACAUCUAGGGUGAUGAGGUCAUGGCUUACUGUUUAGCUUAUAUGGUACAAUUAAGAGAUUCAUUUCUUAAUGUGAUUCAUCUCAGGAAGAGUUGACUCAGAAAAGUUUUAGGGGAGAGGCAAGACUCAUAGGAGAUGUAGAAAAAUUAUGAUUUUCUUCUGGAAGUUCGAGUUCAUUUUUUAUUUUUAUUUCAGGUAAGAAUGAGGAGAGCUGUAAUGAGUCUGUCUUGGAUUUCUGGGUAACAGGGAGUUGCUGUUUUGAGACAGGAUCUCACCCUGUCACCCAGGCUGGAGUAUGGUGCUAUGACCAUGGCUCAGUGCAGCCUUGACCUCCUGGGCUCAGAAGAUUCUCCCACCUCAGCCUCCCAAGUAACUGGGACCACAGACCAGUGCCACCAUGCCCUGCUAUUUUAAAACAAUUAUUUGUAGACACAGGGUCUUGUUAUGUUAUUCAGGCUAGUGAAAUUUGAUUAUUUAAUGCUAAUAAGGCUAAAGAGGUGGUUUGGGUUUUGGCUUUUUUCCUCCCCCCUUUGGAAUUAGGGCAAAAAAGUGAAGUAAAUAUUUAUUUUAUUAAGAUCUCAUUAUAUCUUUGUUUGUAGACAUGUUUAAAUAAAAUAGUAUCUCAGAUAUAUCAUAAUAUCUGGCCAAGUGUGAUGGUUUAUGCUUGUAAUCCCAGCUCUUUGGGAGACUGAGGUGGGAGGAUCACUUGAGGCCAGGAAUUUGAGAUUAGCCUGGACAACAUAAUGAGACCUUGUCUCUACAAAAAAUAAAAAAAAUUUAGGUAGACAUGGCAGCGCACACCUGUAGUCCCAGACACUUGAGAGGCUGAGUUCGGAGGAUUGCCUGAACCCAGGUGUUGGAGGCUGCAAUGAACUAUCAUUGCACCAGUGCACUCCAGCCUAGGUGACGGAGCAAGACCCCAUCUCAAAAAAAAAAAAAUAUAUAUAUAUAUAUACACACACACACAAAUAUGUAUUCAUAUAACUAUGUGAUAUAUAUAACUUUUAUAUUUUGUAUGCGCAGCUUUUUAUUGUGUUGUUUCUUUGUCAAUCCCUGAUUGAGUUCUUUCAAAUACAGCAUUUAACUUCCUAUUGCUGAAAAAGAGGUGGUUUCUCCAUUUAGUUAGGGUGGCAGUUCUCAAUCACAGUCAACCCCAUUCACAAGUAUGUGACAAUACAGAAAUGUUGAUAAGUAAUGGAUCAGGCCAUCUGUAUUAUUUUAUAGAAGAUUUAUUCAUGGGCCUCUGUUUGGACAGCAUUUAUUCCAAUUCUUUCCUUCCCUGCAAGUUGUCCUUGAUUAUGAUUCUCAGCUUGGUCUUUUAUCCACAGUCAACUUUUAGUGAAAAUUCCUAAUUUCUGUACUGGUUAGUUUAAUAUAAUAAAUGUUUAUGAAAUUCCUGUGCUGUUUAAGACACCCUGCUGGGUACUCAGGAUCAUUUUUGGAGGGAUUAACUACUGUCUCUGUCCUUUAGAAGGAAAUGGAAAAUUUUGCCGUAAUGAAUAUAAGUCAAAUUGGGAUAAACACUGUAAAAAGGGGUAAGAAAGUAUCAUAUGUGCCCUGAGGAGAGAGGAAUUUAUUUUGCCUAGGAAUCCGGUAAGGUUGCUAGACUUGGUGACAUCUGAAAUUAGUCCUUAAAGGAGAAACGAGAUUUUGAAUAGAUGAAGUGGGAGAAAACAUGCUAAGUUGCAGAAGUGUGAAAUCCCAUAAUAGAGUCAAGGAAAGGAGAGAGGUCUGUUUCAACUUGAGCAUUAGCUGUGUGUGAGGUGUGUAUAAGGAGAAAAUGGCAGGUGAGUUGGAAAAAAUAGAAUAUUUUCAGUUCCUGAGGGACAUUGAACAUUAUGCUAAGAAAUUUGGACUUGAUUAAUAAAAGAAAACAGAAAGCUAGUAAAAGUGUGUGGAGUGAGAAGGCACACCAUGAUUAUAACUGGACUUUAGAAAGGUAACUAUUCGGGGUGUUGAAGAUCACUUGGCGUAGAGAGAAAGCAAGUGGAGACAGGGAUCCAUCGGCAGGCUAUUAUAAUAAUCCAGGUAUAGGUGAAGUGAUGUAGGACGGUGAUAAUAAAAGCAGAAGUGAGAGACAUUCUGAGUCUAGAGCUGGAUGUGGUGGGAAUCAGAGGUAUUCACAGAUGACUCUGAAGUUUGCAGUUCAUGCCAUUAGUAAAUGAAGAAACCAUGAACUGAGAGGAAGCAGGUUUGAAAGAGAAAACAAUGAGUAUGUGUGAUGUUUGUAAUACACUGUGAUUAUACAUAUCAUUUCUUUCUUCUUUUGAACUAGAUUGUUACAGCCAUUCUUUUUGGAUUCCAUUAUUAGAAUUAUAGCCUAUUUUGCUUUAAAUGUAGGAUCCUGACACUUUCUGAUUCCUCAAAAGAGGGGAAGAAAAGUUAUAUCUGCUCUCUACUACUUCUGAAUACAUUCCUGUUUACUAUGAUCUCAAUGUGUCUGUGAGGAAGAUCUUGAGCCCUACUCAAGGUAGACUCUUUGACCUAACUCCCCUUUCUCUGGCCAUGCUCCUGAGGAUGAGACAAUUAGAAAUCCUCACUAAUGCUUAUAGGAUUCUCAGAGUUAGACAGAACUGGCCUUUGUCAAGGUAAAUUGGAGCCAAAGUGGAUUCUUGGAUCGUGUAUCUCCUGCUGGUUGUGAAGCUGCCAGACCCCAUCCCAGUGGGUGGAAAUGGACACCAGCCCCCGAGGAAGUAAUGGCUGUACAUGGGCGUCUGCUACCGCUGCUGCUUCCUCUCCUUCAUGAGGAAGGAAACCGUGGGCUUUCCUAGGCAUUUUUCUUGUUCUCUUACACAGGGGAACUGAAGAGUCUUGGCCUUUGGAGUUUGAAUAGUGAAUCUAAGGCUGGAGGGGUUUCCAGAGAGCAGACAGUUUCCAUCUCUGAACUGUUGUUACUUUCUUCUUCCACCCCCAUUCCUGUGCUGUACAAUUCAUUCUAUCGCCAGACUUUUAGUGUAUAGUGUUAGCAUGUCUUAAUGGAGAGCCUGGAGUUGAAAGCCCCUGUACAACUUCUAGGCAGAGAAACCUCAAUGGAAGGAAGGAAUUGUGCCACUGUGGUUUCCUCCUGCAAAUAAAAUUUAAUUUGUAAAGAUAUUCAGACUUCUUUUUUUCCUUACCAGAUUUGCACACCAUAUAUUCAAUGACAAGUCCUCUUGAAAGGUGGUGAGAAGUGUUACUAAAAUUCCAAAUAUCUACUCCUCAUCUGAUAAAGCCAUUCCGAUGUUUGCAGUAUGAAUUUGUUUGCAGUUAGAAUUCCCCACAUUGACUACAAAUCCCAGUCCACAAAUUCAGCUCUGAAUCUCUGGAAAACAGUGUGCCAUGGGUAGAUCGAUCCAAUUAGACUGUAAAUUUAAGGCACCAUGUGCUUUAUCUGACUGAGCAUUAACAAUUUAUUCAGCCCAUUUUGCAUCCCUUUUCCCACCCGAGCAAAUUGAGAACACUACAUUUGCUUCUUCAUCUUUUUCCCUUCAUGUUAUGGCACAAAAUCAUUUCUCCAGUUCCAGUUCCUUUGAUGUUUGCAACAGCAAUGAUGAAGAGAAAACACAUCUUCAAAAGAGGCAGAAAUAUGGUAAGCAUUGCCCACUGAUAGUAGCUAAAAGGCAUAUAUUAAACAACUACAGAAUACCCAGCACAUUGAUGAGUCCCGUGUGGUGCAGAAAGAAACAAGCCCCUUCGGAGCUCACUGCAGACAUAUCUGAGUGAGGGAGGAAAGGGUUUGGAGCCCAGGAGUGGGAAAAAACGUAUCAUCAUCUCAUUGCUGGACUCUGAUCCCUUAAAGUCCAAAUUGAGGGGGAAAUGGUCAGAGGAAAAGCAUGUUUUCAGCCCCCUCCCAUUUUAGAGACAGUCUAAGAUGGAGAUAGCAGGAGGGGAAGGAUAGAUAUGGGAUGGCCAACUAGUUUAUUUGCAAUAGGCUGGUUUUAAUUCUUCAAAGUAGUGAGUUUGAGGGCAAUGCAGUGCAAAAGACAACUUAUUUAUUUCAUGUUAGAUUAUAAGCAACCUUGAAAGGCAAAAGUCCUCCUUUUUUUGACUUAAAAAAAAAACAACCCUCUGCAGUAUCCUCUCCAAAGGCAGCAGGUUAAGUGGUAGGGUCCAGCCCUCAAAGAAACUGCUUUUCUCCAUUCUCCACACACUUCCAUAGACAAUUGUAAGUUGAGAGACAAAUCCUCCAUCAGACAUAUUUUCCUUGUCAAAUCAUGCCCAUCCCACCUGACCGACACUGAUAGUCCUGGGAGCCAAUUCUGAUGCCAACCUGUGUUGAACUCCUAGAUGUGAGUGCACUUUCUUGAAGGGCAGGUUGGGCUAAAACUUGACCUUUGGGAGCUUUGAGAGGUGGGAAGAGGAGCAGAGGGCUGCCAGGGAAAGAGAGAUUUCCUGGUUAUUGCUAUAGGGAGUCUGUUUACUUGCCUUCAAGGGUCACAGCCAUCUGAAUGGGCUUCUCUGGCUCUGCUCUUGGGUUUGAUUUCAGAGGACUCGGUCCUGUGGAAUUCCACUCCCCAUCGACCCUCCCCUUACUGUUAGGUAUAGGACUUUUAUUCCACAGUUAUGACUCAAGCCUUCCUGAGGAACACUGCAGCUUUCUUGCAGGAGCAGCAAUUGGAAAGGCUGUUUUAAGUGGAGUUUACUGCUGUUGUAUAAACCUUCAUUUAAAAUUGACUAUAAAGUGUUUCUGAACCUGCCAAACAUGCAUUAAAAUAUUUUGCUCCAUUUAUGCCUAUGUGUAACAUUUGGUUUCUAAAAAGCUUUAAUCAGUAAUCUUCAAGUAGGAAGUUAUUCAUCUUUAUUGCCAGUCGGUUCUCAGUGGUGGUCGUGGCAACAAUCUUUUUAUUGCUUCUGUGUUUAGUUGUUCUUUGACAUGAUAGAAGUCAGCUGCAGUUCAAUGAGCUCACUAUUUGUGCAACUUAAUUGCUUGCUUCCUUCAAUACAUACUAAAUUUUUCCUUUUAUGAGCAGGGCUGUUGGAAAAAUUAAGCUUAAGGAUAUAGCCAUACACUGUUAAUUAACCUCCUUCCCAAACACAUUAGUAAAAUAGGUCAAAUAACUGCUGAGUGCUAAGUGUACUGUUACUAAGGUCUUCCUCAGCUGAGAAGUGAAUCCUGUAUUAAGUGGACAAAUAUUGGAGCAUUGAGUAUUUUCUGGAAGCCAUGAAGACAUAAGAAUAAUGCUUUAUAACAGUAUUCUCUGCUGCAUCGUCUCCUAUAGGUUGUAUGUAUGAUUUGACUUUAUUUGGCUCUACCAUGAUUUUAGCUUAUUUCAUUAUGUCUGUGUGAAAAGAAAUAAAAUAUUUCUCUGUGUGUGGUUUUUCUUUUUUUUUUUUUUUUUUUUUUUGUUUAUAGGUUAUUGCUUCUUUUAAAAGGGGAACCCAAAAUUCAACUUUCCCUUUUAGUAGUAACCACUGCUGUUAGUUUGAUUCACAAUUCUUAGAAAAAUCUGGAUGUUGCGAGGAAGUAUAAAUGCUUGUGAUGAGUACAAAAAUAUGCUCAGUGAAGGAACUAAUCUAUCAAAAUAGACUUAUAUAGAACUCUUAUAAUUCCUCUCCAUGUCAGGAUUAUAUUCAGAUGGAAAAUCACUUUAAUUGCAGUGGUGAAGGGCAGAUUGGAGCUUUACCAGCUUGACAGAAAAUAUUUUGAUGUUUAUAGACCAAAGAAAACAUGAGAGUUCCCGAAUUUGGCAGAAGGCAGGAAAAUGUCAGAGUAUAGUUUAUACUUUUAGAAAGGGGAACACAAAUGCAAAGACAAGUAAAAUGGGAGCAUGUGCCAGAUAGAGCUAAAGGUGGACAUUUGUGAUCUCCGUCCUCUAUCUGCAGUUCUAUGUUUAGCCUUUAAUUGGGAGUUAGUAAAGAGAAAAAGGAAUCUCAACAUCCCCCCUUAACUAAAUGCUAAACCAAUAAACACAAUAAAUUUCUUAAAAACUAUUAGUUACAAUCUAAAUCUUGUAGACAUAUAGGUAGAGAAUCCAUAUUUCUAAAAUCAUCUGUUCUGAUAAAAUCACUACCAAAUAUCAGUGGGGUCAUUACUCUUCCAGUGUAUUUGUGCCUCCGGACUUGGGUGUAUUUUCUGCAUUAAGAUUAUUUAUUGAAAACCUUCUUGCAGCACCUUUUUUCCAAUGUUGCUUCAGAAUAUCAGUGAAUUGAUGAUAUUCUGAAUAGAACUGAUGUUGAAAUGGUAAACUUUGUGGAUCUUACUUUGCCUACCUGCUAAAGAGGGAUAACGACCCGUUGUCGGUCUACACUCCAGGGGAUUGUUAAAAAAAAGUUAAUUAACCAUUGUCAAGCGCCUGAAGGCCAAAGCGUUUUCCCUGUACCUUACUGUAUCACAUCUUGAUGAAGGUUACAGGAACAACUUCAUACUCAUUCGUUGUGGGUUCUUUUUUCUUUGUCUUUUUUUUAGACAGAUUCUUGCUCUGUCACCCAGACUAGAGUGCAGUGGUAUCAUCUCAGCUCACUGUAACCUCUACUUCCCAGGUUCGAGUGAUUCUCCUGCCUCAGCCUCCCAAGCAGCUGGGAUUACUGUCAUGCACUGACACCUGGCUAAUUUUUGUAUUUUUCAGCAGAGACAGGGUUUCACCGUAUUGGCCAGGCUGAUCUCAAGUUCCUGACAUCAAGUGAUCAGCUCACCUCAGCCUCCCAAAGUGCUGGGAUUACAGGAAUGGGCUGCCGCGCCUGGCUAGUUGUGAGUUCUAAAGCUUAUUCUCUCUUAUCUUUUGCCUCGAUGAGACCUAAGAUGCAAAUGGCAGAUUGUUGACACAUGGAAAAUAGUUGAACCAUCUGAAAGGUUAAGUAUGGGAAGAGGGGCACUGCAUUUCCACAUGCCUGUAGAUGCUCUGGUGCCUAUCGUUUUUGUGCUGGUCCACAGACUUCAGGCUCAGGGAAAAGGAGACUGUAACUUUUGGUGAAGAAGGAGCUGCUAUGAAUCAAAGUCAAGGGAUUGAAUUAACGCUUUUUUCCUGUCUAACCAAUUGCGACGGCAAAUUUCAUACCUUUGGAAAGUUGAAAAUACUUGUCAAGAAAAGAAAAAAAAGUGGAAGUCUAGGAUUGACAGGUAUGAGGAAAUAAAGAAUUUUGGAAACUUUCUGAGGCAUUUAGUCUUUGUAAUCAUUUUUUGGUAUUCUCACACAGAACCCUAUUGCCAACCUGCCUGAGGCAAAUUUGCAUGUGUUAGGUUUAACUUCUUUUAUUUUAACUUGCCUUUAAAGUAGCCAAACCUUUGCCUCCGCGUAUGUUGGGUGGUGUUAACCCUUCAUGAAUUGACAGUGUGGUCAUUUCAUGGAUUUGUCCACUAUGGCUGUAGCUUUUCUACCAGUCAUUGGUAGACUAAUUAAACAAAUCCCGGAAGGAGACCUUGGAGCCACGAAAAUACUUUGUACAACCAGCAGGUGGCACUGUGUAUACUACAGUGAUGAAGAAACUGGGCUAUAGGAGGCAAAGAUGAAAGGGGGAAGGAAGAACUGGGAUAAUGAGAUAAUAUAAGCUAGUCUACAGAUCUUUGGGAGGUUAACAGGGCAUCUUAGAAAGCUAUAAACCAGUCUCUGAAUGUGGAAGGCUGCCAUGGAUUUGCCUUGUAAGAAUAUUUCUCAGAUUUUUAAAGCCUUUCCAGUGAUACAAUUGAUAUCUGCUUAAAUUCUACUUAUAUGCUACUGCCCUGAGUUGAAAAACAAACCUGAACAGAAUAUUUUUAGGUAAUUUUAGAAUAAACGUUUACACAUAUUCUAAAACCACAGCAUGUAAAACAGGAACUCAAGCCUGGUGUAUAUAAAAUAUAAAAAAUCACAUUUCAUGCUUAGAGAAUAUUACUCAGUAAGGAAACAGGUUAAUUUGAUUUGUUAUAUUAAAGAAAUAGUAAGGACAUUUUCCUGACCUUCAUUAGCUUUUGCAUUCUUUGUCGUCUAUGAUUCUCUUUUCUUUAAUAAUUCAUUUGAAAGAGACUUCUGUAAAUCAACUUUUAGAACAUACUUUUUGGGGUAAAUUUUUGCUGCUUUGGAAGCUCAUGUAGUGAUUUAUCUAGGUAAUCAAAUUGAAUUCAGAGAUGGCAAUGAUUAUUUACUUCCAAUUAUUAUUUACUUCUGAGAUGGAAGAAAUUGUCCAUACUACCACAGUUCUCUUGUGAGGGUUGGUGUUUGUUUCUUUUUUCCUGAGCCGUCAGAAGAAAACUUCUUUUGUAGCCUAGACCAGAGGCAGAGGCAGGUCCUGAGAAGGAAAUAUAAUUCCUGUCAAUAAACAUUUCCUAAGCUAAGGCCUCUUGGGAACACUGGCCUUUCUGUAGAAAUGUAGACUUUUCUCCCUGACAAAUUUAUGCUCUCUGGGGGCAGAUGUUUGAACUACUUUUCCUCUCUGCCUCCAGGGGUACAAAACAAUUGUGUCCACAUGUGGGUGGAGUCCAUUGUUCCAGAGGAAAGCUGAGAAGACUGUGAAUAUGUGGAGGACUGUUCUAGAAAUCAGUAAUGGAUUGAUUAUCACAUCCUACCUGAGGGCAAGGAACUGAGGUGGAAGUGGGAAGAGGAACAACAAAGCUAGAUGUAGGACAAGGUGGCAGGAAUUGGGAUCUGAGAGUGGCAAGUCAGAGUCUUAGGGUCCAGUUAUAGUGACCUCAGACUCUUGCCCAAGUUCAGAACCUUAAAUGUUGCAGCCUGCCCAGUCUGGUAGGAGCUGAGGCAGGCAUCUGGCUGAGUUGCUCAGGGAGGAUGCUAUGAGUGGUCUCUCCACGUGACUGGAAAGUUUGACCAACUGAGGUGGACCUGGGAUGGAAACCAAGUCACUAUAUAUUCAGAAACAGGGAUAUUUCUGAUUCAUCAGGGUAGGCUCCUCUCCUGUUUCUUGGAACAGAUUCCCUUCUUCUGAGUCUGGAGCCUGGGCAGUACUUGAGCAACAACAAGGAGCAUAAGUUUCCUGUCACUUCCUCUUUGGCAGGUUGUGUCUGCAGACACUGGCUCCCAUACCCCAUAAUUACUUUUUCACAUUUUUUAAUAUAGUAACACAUGGUUGGGCUUGUGGUGGGGGAACCAAGUGAUGCCUCCAGGCCAUGAACACUAUAAAUAACUUCAGGGAUCAUUUUAUAUGGUUAGGGAAGGAAGCAGCUUCUUUCUUAAGAAAUAGCUCCAAGUAAAGAAGCAGGAUUUAGGAACAAAUAACUUUUAUUUUCCAGAGCCCCUUUGCCUUUUCUGUUUCUCUAUACAUCAGAGAUCUUAUUGGUAUUAAUUUGUCUCAACAGCCUUUCUUAUACCACGUUUCUGCUUAGAGUGGUGAUUGCAGCCAUCUCAUCAUAUAGAGAAAAGUUCAUACAUUUUGUUUGUGAAUGUGCAACUUUGAGCUAUCAAGUCCAUUUUCCAGGGUUUGCUUCUGACUGUGAAUUCUGAAACAGGCACCCAUGUGCAAGUAUAUAUGUUGAUUGAAGACCCAUAUUAUUUGAAGGGACUUCAAUAAGCAAUCUAGAAACAGUUCCUCAUGCCUCUGACCACAUUUUUAAACCACUUAAGGGAACCCAAUUUUAGAGCUUCCUGGAAAUAGUAAUUUAGGACAUUUGUUGUAGAGACUCGUGUUUAGCAAUCUUCAUUGUUAAGAAGGUCUUCAUUUUAUAUAACUUUCCAAUGGAUUUAAAAUGUUUUGCUUCUUUAUUCAGUGGAGGUUGACAGUAGCUUAUUAUGAUUAGCUUUCAAUAACUACUUUUUAUAUGUCUCAGUGACCUGGUAUCCAAACUUGACAUAAUUUAAUAAUUAACACCUAAAUAAGAUCAACACUACUUUCUAUUGAAUAAAAAUCUAAUAGAAAAGUAUCUGUAGCAAAAAUAUUCCAAAAACACUUUCUAGGUUUCAUUAGAGUCGGUAUGCUUUUGCUUGACCCAUGUUUGUACAGAUUUGAUCCUCACAGUUCAUUUCUAAGCAGAGCAAGUAGUUUGGAUUAUCUUUGCAUUAUAUGUAAUAUUGCUCUAUAAUAUAUUUACAAUUCAGGAAGGCAAAGACACUAGCCCAAUGACAGAGAUACAAAAAGGACCACAACUGUGGUAGGCAUUAGAAUCAUGUUUCUCUCUUAGUGACAUUAAUUCACUGUAAUAAAACUGUAUCUAUAGGCAAAUGGACUCAUUUUAUUCCUUGCAUCUUGUGUAAGAAUUGCAUAACCAUCUGGGACCAGGAACAAAAUGCAGUGAUAGACAAGUCUGCAGGACUGAGGAGGAACAAACGGGACAGGUCUCCAGGGGAAUAUGUGAGGAAAAUCAGAAUCUAUCGUCCUUAGUCACUCUGGGUCAAUAUUUGCCAGACUCACAGGGUACCUGGCACUGUGCUCCAGGUUUCCAAUCUAACAAGCAGAGGUAUAAAUGUCUCCCUCUCACAGAAGGAACCGUCAUUUUACUUCUCUCCUGAAAAUGUGUUCUUGUAGACAGUGGUGGUUCCUUCAUCAGAGGGCUGGACCUAUAAUGUCUCUGGCUUGUGUGCACCUAAUGCUGUGGUGUUUGCAUGACUGGGGAGUCACAAAGAGACUGCAGUUGAAUUGUCAGUUCCAACAUGUAAUGCCGUUUGAUGAUUUUAUUUUAAAAACUUCUCAAGUGCUGAGAAUCUGAUACAGCAUAUGUUUUGAUGUGGUGCAGUGAUAGCCACAGUAUCUGUCAAAAGGAACCAUGAGAGAUGAAAUAGCAGAGUACUUUUCUCUCAUGAUGUAGAUGUAGCCAUACUUGCGAAGGAAAAAGCGUGUAUUGUUUCUUGGGCCCCAUUCCCUAAACUCCUACACAAACCCUGUGGGAUUAAGUAAGCUGGCACCAGUACUGCAAGUUCUUGUUAACCAUAUAUGCCCCAAGGCUCUAACACAAACAAUCCCUAUUAUAAAAUAAGACCUUUACAAAAAACAUUUUCAGAAAAUACUUGUACCUGUUUUCUGCCAUGCUGCAUUUUUUGAGAUGGUUACAUGCUUACGUUAGGGCAUGGCGUAUCGCCAAAGCUAGAGGUCUGCCUGCUGAAGUUUCAAUAGUGCUCAUUAUGAAGGAGAAGUUUCUAUUCCUACCCCUGGAAGGAAAAAGCCACUCACAGAUAAAGUGUAUGAUAUGAUUACCAUUGCUUUAGAUAACCACAAGUAGUACUUCCGACAUGAUAAGGGAUCGUUUUCUAUCUUGAGCUUACAGAGUUUAGACAGCCUUUUUAAGCAAUGGUGGUGGCAUUUUUGAAGGCCACUUGAUUAGUUUGGAUCCUGAGGGAGCAUGAAGUUGCCAUGCAGAUAAAAAUCAGCACUGGUUUCAGCUACCGUGGCAAUUGCAGCGAGAGUAGGGGGGGCUUUGGAAAAGGUUCGGAAUCAGAGAACGAAAGGCCCUAGUGACUUUGGCAGGGUUAUUUAAAGGUCUUGUGACUAAACACCAAGCAUAUCAGGAACUGUGAGAUAGUUCCUUUUCUUGUGCUGGCUUCAUGAUGGUUAAGCUCACUGAGAGAGCUAGAAUCCUCAGUCCUCAGAAGGUAUAUCAGUGAGGCAGAUUCAAAUUAAAAUAGGAGGGUUGGCUAUCAAUAUCUGGUUUGCUGGAGGGAAUAUGAACAGGGAAAUUACAGAGCUAAUGAGAAUUUAAUGAGUUAAAUUGUAGAAAGGAAAUUAAGGGCCCAUCCUGACAACUGGGCUAUUAUAUAAGCCUAAGCCCUAUUGUAUGAACCUUUUACUAUCCUCAUGAAAAAACCAGGGAUAACACUCUAAGAUGAGCAAUAUUGUUAAUUGGCAAAAUAAGAAAUGUUAGUUACUCCUUCCUGAUACUUUGACAAGUAAUUAAUAAAUGGACUGUUGACUACUACCUAAAUCCAGAGGGGGGAAACCAGAGUAGGAAUGGAGAAUUUAAAAUAAGGUCAAAGGCCGGGAAAGUGUUUGCAUGUAUGUGUGUAUGUGUGCAUAUGUAGUCAAAAAGAAAAAUUCCAAUUCGUUAUUAUAACUUGAAUGUUUAGUCUUUCCCAAGAAGCAUCUGAAAGAUCAAAAGAGGUCAGAUGUACAGAACAGGCUUAUUAAAAUGUAUUGGGAUGAGUGUUUUGAUGCUUUUUUUACCUUGAGACUGAUAGGUAACAGCAAGGAUCAGUAUAAGAAAAAAAGAACAAGAGAUUUAAUUUCUUCAACUUUUCCACCCCCGUUCCUAUGGUUCCACCCUGUGGAAUUGCUGGAGGGACUUUUAUGGUACUACCAUUGCUAGAAGGAUUGGAUAUGGUUGGGGGCUAUCUUGGGGGGAAUACUUGUCCUGGCUGUGUUUUAAUACCUAGCAUGGCACUCAAACUUAUAGUUCUUGAAGAAAAUUUCUGUGUUUUGAAUGGUAAUAGAGAAAAAGCUAUCUAUCCCCUUAACUUGCUAUCUUCAAUUUUCAUUCCUUCAUGAGAGAUGUAAUAAGUCUGGGAAUUUCCCUCUUUGCUAGGUGGGGAUGUGAUUACCCAACUGUUGGCAGGGUGCUUGGGAUUAUCCAGAUGGAAAUGCUAUUUAAGGGCUAGGUAUUAGGGUUUCACUAUUUAAAAAUUAAAAUGUCCCCAAAUGAGCUUUAUUUGUGUUUCUCUUAAAGUCCUUGUUAUAGGAAGUUGCCCACAGAGGAAAUGCAGCUCAGAGGUUUCUGGGACCAGCCAUAGCUCUUGAGAUGGGUCAGAGGCAGUCACCAGUCAGGGGCUUGGCCAACAGAACUGCUAUGUACCUUUUCCAGUUUGUAGCCCUCCCUUUCGUUCCCAGAACUAAAAGACCCUCUCUGUCACAUGGGAGACUCUCUGACCUUAGGAAAUCAAGGUAUCAUGCCCUAUGGCAUGUGGAAGCCUUAUAUGCCUUUAUGAGCUGGGUGAAGCCCUCAUGGAAUUAGUCUUAUUAGGCAGUUUUCAGGUGCUUUUUAAGUUAUAUUUUAUUUGUCUGUUUUUAAAAAGGGAUAUCAUUCUUGUCACUUUCCAUUCUUUAAAUUUCAGCUCUUGGAGUUUUCUCAGUGAGAAGGAGACUCCCAUCCUUUUUUUUUAAGGAGGGGUUUGAGAGCUCAUCCUGCUCCAGGGUUAUGGCAGAUUUGCUGUUACUGUUGCUGCUUUCUUUUCAAAGUACCGUAGGUCACAUGAUGACUUCCAGGCCCAAAUGGGGAGAUGAUGUGGAUAAAAGUAUUUAGCAAGAGAUCAAAAACUGGGCUGCACUUCUAAAUGGCUCGCCUUUUAGAAAAAACACCUUAGCCUCUCACCCAGAUGUGGUUGUGGGUAACUGUCAAUGCGGCACACAGGUGGCACAGUUGUCUUGCCAUUUACUGCCUGAUGCCUCGGCAAUUGCUGCCAGCCCUUCAGAAAUAGGAAAUGACUAAUGAUGUGGUGGAAAUUAUGAACCAGGAUUAAUAAAACUUGAAAAGGAACAGUCUUCAGUGUUUGAUCCUCCUUAGAGGAAGUUAAAUCUGAGUCCUAGAUUCUUUUCCCUGAGGUGUUCUUCUGACUUUUUCUGAUUACUCGGUUGUAGUGGGGGUCUACGCUAGAGCUAGAAACAGUGAACCAGAUGGUGCAGGAAGCAAAGUGCUGCUCCCAUCCCUGAAGGUACAGACACAUGUCCUGUUCUGCAGCCCAUCUGUGAAGAGUCCAGUUAAAGGAGACAUAAGCACAGGGCAAAUAUUUACCUUCUAAAGAUUGAGAUUUAGGCAUGUUCAUGAAGAACUUUCUGGAAAGAUUUCAUUUACUACCUGAGCAAUUUACUACCUUAUGCUUUCUCAUUAAGGACAAUUGUUUGGGUCUCCAUAGAUGUCAGGGAGUUGACAUUUUUCUUUUUAAUUUUGGAAUCAGAAUUUCUUUUUCUUAAGGCCCAUGCCAGGCAUUCUUUCACAAUACUGUGGGCCUGUCUUCUAGUUUUCUUCUCCCCACAUUCUCAGGCUCCUCUUUUCUGCUUGGGAAAAUGCUAUGUAGCCAAAAGGGUAAAUGUACAUAUUGUUUUAUAGGUGAAGAAGGUAGUAUAAGGUAUAAUGAAAAAAAAAAAUAAAAGAAACUUAUAGGAGUUUAGUAUUAUCCCUCAAUUUCACAGCUGGAAGGAGUUGAAUUCUGGAGCCCAACUCUGGGGUCUGAACCCUCUACCUUCCUGUUUUGGACCUUCAUCAAGAUGACUUCCCCUUAUAACUGAGCUUCACCAAGCUAAUGCUAGCAGGAUCCUUGAGGGCUCUUGGAAAACAGAUUCCUUCAGGACCUAGUCCUUGGAAUAUGGAUUAAAAACACUUUUCCUAGCUCCAUAUUUUCCCAAGACCUUUGUCUUAUGCUACCCUAGGACUGCAGUGGACCUGUGGCACUUGUCUCUCUUCAGAUCCUUGGGCCAUCUCUGAGAGAGAGGUUGUGCAUUUAAAAUAAGACCUUAAAUCUUCUUUUGGCUCUUGCUCCCAACUUUGUGGUCCUGUCAGUUGGCUUUGUACAAUAAUGAAAACAAAUGCUGUAAAACAGGAUUUAAUGGAUAAACAGUAGUUAAAAUGAAGAGUAUAUUUUCCCCUUGCCUUGUUAUCUUAGCUAUUCCAUUACAAAAUAAGAGGGUUAAGAAAAACCUGGUAAAACAGAAUUCGAGAGCCCAAAUAUCUGAAAAUACAUUUCAUUUAACAAAUACUUCAGUGUGUUUUCUAAUGGCUGAUCCUUUCCCAGUGGAUGGACCUACUGGAGUUUCCUCAAGUGGAAGGCCCUAUCCUUGGCUACUGGGAACCCUAAGCAUGAUGCUAAGGCGUCCUCCAUUGAUCACAGCAAUGAGAGAUGGGAAGACAGCAAGGGUAGGUCUCUGAGUGUCCCUCUCUUGUGUGUGGACGUUGCUCUGGAGGCAGAUAGGGCCUCCUAUGACAGCUUAGAAGGGGAGGCAGGACCCUCUCUAGAGCUGAAGUGGAACCACCCCUAAAGCAAGGCUCAGGAGGUGCAAAUGCUAGACAGCAGAAAUUGCACUGUCCGGUAAAGCUUUCCUUUUUUCCCUUGUCUCCUCUCUCCAGGAAGUUCUGAGAAAUUUUUCUCAGAGGAAAUGGAGUGAAAUGAGCUCUCAGGGCAGCCUUGCAAGGGAAAGCUUGUACAGGAACAGGAUGGAAGAGGGAACUUGGAUGGUGCUGAGUCGUUGUAGACAGUCAGACCUUGGCCUUAUGCACUGCUGGAUGUGCAUGUGUGAACCACGGGUCUUCUCCAGGACCUGCUGGCAAGGCUACCUCCAGUUUCCUGUGCCAAGAGUUCUGAUUCCUUCAGCGGCCUUGAAUCCAGCUCUGGGCACAGUUGGCUCCAACUGCUGAAACUUCUGCCCAGUUCUGUGCUGAAGCCUUACACUAACUGUGGCUCCAUGAGUGGGUGCCUGUCUGUCUUGCACUUGGUUCUGGCAUUCUGCUUCAGCACUUGGCCAAAAGGCCAGCCACUGGGUUUGUGGAGCUGGAUUUGCAGUGGCCCUUGACUGCUGCUCUGCAAAGGUUUUCUUUCUUCCCUUUUACAUUGUUGUCUUCAGGCUGGCACUUGAAGGAGCCCAACGGGCCAUUACAGUCACACAGUCAAACAAAGAUCUUUUAAGAGAACAAUCGUCAUUUGUUUCCCAGUUGGCAUUUCUGGAGAUUUAGCAGGAUAAUCUUGGAUGUACGUCAGCAAGCAUGAGCAGGAAUCAUCUUAAUCCUUAACAAGGCAUACAAAUGAAUUGGGACCACGUGAAAAGUGUACAAAGAAUUUCUCUUUCUUCUUUCUUCUCCUGAAUUCCAGCUGUAGGGGCUUGUGUAAUUUUUGUUGGGGGAGGGGGAGUUUCCUUUUGAUCCAGUAACCUGAUGCAGAGAUGGGACUCCCUAGGGUUUCACCUUUGGGGAUCCUCUGGGCACUUUGUGUAUUCUAGCAUACUCUUUAUUCCCGAAGAGAGCUACUGCCCCAACUCCCUGUCACAGGCAGAUCCCUUGAAGUCUUAGCUGGGAAACACAGCUUGGACUGUUCUAGUCAUUCUUUUAAAGUCCUGACUUGAGUUAGCCUCAAAAAGGCAACUACUGAAUUCCCAAUUCCAUUUGAUUUUACAAAGGCAAAUGAGCUCCCCACAUACAAGGACCUCCAGCUGUUUCCUCUAAAAGAAGAGAGAACAGCAAGGAUGUCCAAGAGUCUCUCCCCAACAGUUGCUUCCUCCUCAAGCAUCUACCAGUUAUGUCAGACCUGUCUGAGGAGACAGAAGGGGCAGAGGGAGAGGUAUUUGUUGACUCCUUCACCCGCAAAGUGAGACUCCAUGAUGCCUGUGAUACGAGUAGGUCCCUCUUUGAGGAGCUUGAGGAAGUUAGGCAGGAAAGGGAGGGAAUAUAUGGAGCCAGCACUUUUCUCUCAGCAGUGCAAGAAUUGUUGGGAACUUUUAUUUUUCUUGUUUGUUGUUUGAUCCGCUGUGCUCAUUGAUGUUAUUGUUAAACCAGUUUCAUUUAUAUGGAAAUUUUUAAAUCUAAUUUGCAUUUUCCAGGAUUUUUUCUCCCCAUAUUUAGACAAAUUAA